RNAcentral lists this ribosomal RNA (389 nucleotides) under uncultured bacterium. RNAcentral's name for it is "bacterial SSU rRNA". It matches the Rfam family "Bacterial small subunit ribosomal RNA", at positions 30 to 416 of the family's 1533-position model. The record is from RNAcentral.
AUUGAACGCUGGCGGCAUGCCUUACACAUGCAAGUCGAACGGCAGCACGGGAGCAAUCCUGGUGGCGAGUGGCGAACGGGUGAGUAAUAUAUCGGAACGUGCCCAGUCGUGGGGAUAACGUAGCGAAAGCUACGCUAAUACCGCAUACUAUCUAUGGAUGAAAGCGGGGGAUCGCAAGACCUCGCGCGAUUGGAGCGGCCGAUAUCAGAUUAGGUAGUUGGUGAGGUAAAGGCUCACCAAGCCGACGAUCUGUAGCUGGUCUGAGAGGACGACCAGCCACACUGGGACUGAGACACGGCCCAGACUCCUACGGGAGGCAGCAGUGGGGGAAUUUUUGGGACAAUGGGCGGCAAGCCUGAUCCAGCAAUGCCGCGUGCAGGAUGAAGGCC